AAUGGCACAACGAGGGCUUAGCUGUCUCCUCUUUCAAGUCAAUGAAAUUGAUCUUCCCGUGCAGAAGCGGAAAUAUAAACAUAAGACGAGAAGACCCUAUGGAGCUUUAGACACUAAAACAGCUUACGUUAAAUACCCCCCACAAAGGAAAAAACUAAAUAAUCCUGCUCUAAUGUCUUUGGUUGGGGCGACCGCGGGGAACUAAAUAACCCCCACGUGGAACGAGAGUACUUCUCUUACAACUAAGAGCUACCCCUCUAAUAAACAGAAAUUCUGACCAACAAGAUCCGGCAACGCCGAUCAACGGACCGAGUUACCCUAGGGAUAACAGCGCAAUCCUCUUUUAGAGCCCAUAUCGACAAGAGGGUUUACGACCUCGAUGUUGGAUCAGGACAUCCUAAUGGUGCAGCCGCUAUUAAGG
Molecule: ribosomal RNA, 421 nt
Filed under: Liparis punctulatus
Lineage: Eukaryota; Metazoa; Chordata; Actinopteri; Perciformes; Liparidae
Description: partial large subunit ribosomal RNA
Rfam family: Bacterial large subunit ribosomal RNA
Source: RNAcentral